Molecule: transfer RNA, 77 nt
Filed under: Candidatus Bathyarchaeota archaeon ex4484_135
Lineage: Archaea; Thermoproteati; Candidatus Bathyarchaeota
Description: tRNA-Trp
Rfam family: tRNA
About the family: Transfer RNA (tRNA) molecules are approximately 80 nucleotides in length. Their secondary structure includes four short double-helical elements and three loops (D, anti-codon, and T loops).
Source: RNAcentral
GGGGCCGUGGCCCAGCCAGGAAGGGCGGCGGGCUCCAGACCCGUAGGUCCGGGGUUCAAAUCCCCGCGGCCCCACCA